This 352-nucleotide small nuclear RNA is filed under the name Salvator merianae (Argentine black and white tegu). RNAcentral's name for it is "7SK RNA (ENSSMRG00000016648.1)". It matches the Rfam family "7SK RNA". From Rfam's summary of the family: 7SK was discovered as an abundant small nuclear RNA in the mid-70s but a possible function has only recently been suggested. Two independent studies have found that 7SK RNA binds the CDK9/cyclin T complex (known as elongation factor P-TEFb). Lineage: Eukaryota; Metazoa; Chordata; Lepidosauria; Squamata; Teiidae. The record is from RNAcentral.
GGNUGUGAGGGUGAUGUGACUGCGACAUCUGUCGCCCUGUUGAUUGCUGGGGUCGAUUUGGCCGAUCUGGCUAGCUAGGCAAGGUGACUCUUUUCCCCCUUUGCUCUGUUCAUGUUCCUGCCACAUCUUCGUGCUCAGUGGAGGAAGGCGGCCGUUCAGACAGAAGCCAUGUACAGUUUUUCAUUUGAGGGUAUUUGAUAGCUGGCCUCCCCUGCUGGAACCUCCAAACAAGCUCACUGUCUCCAUUUCCAGAUCCUGUCACCCGGGGAUGGUCUGCUUGUUUGACUGUUUUGAUGGUGGGGUGAGGUGAGAUGAUUGGAAUCCUUGCCUGGCCCAUUCGGUGCCGUAACAG